CAAGUACUGGUCUCAGCAGAUUGAGGAGAGCACCACAGUGGUCAUCACACAGUCUGCUGAGGUUGGAGCUGC
Homo sapiens (human) is the source of this 72-nucleotide microRNA precursor. It matches the Rfam family "mir-622 microRNA precursor family". The record is from Rfam. NCBI's taxonomy places the organism in Eukaryota, Metazoa, Chordata, Mammalia, Primates, Hominidae.